Molecule: ribosomal RNA, 492 nt
Filed under: uncultured bacterium
Lineage: Bacteria
Description: partial 16S ribosomal RNA
Rfam family: Bacterial small subunit ribosomal RNA
Source: RNAcentral
AGUGAACGCUGGCGGUAGGCCUAACACAUGCAAGUCGAACGGCAGCACAGUAAGAGCUUGCUCUUACGGGUGGCGAGUGGCGGACGGGUGAGGAAUACAUCGGAAUCUACUUUUUCGUGGGGGAUAACGUAGGGAAACUUACGCUAAUACCGCAUACGACCUACGGGUGAAAGCAGGGGAUCUUCGGACCUUGCGCGAUUGAAUGAGCCGAUGUCGGAUUAGCUAGUUGGCGGGGUAAAGGCCCACCAAGGCGACGAUCCGUAGCUGGUCUGAGAGGAUGAUCAGCCACACUGGAACUGAGACACGGUCCAGACUCCUACGGGAGGCAGCAGUGGGGAAUAUUGGACAAUGGGCGAAAGCCUGACCGAGCAAUACCGCGUGAGUGAAGAAGGCCUUCGGGUCGUAAAGCUCUUUUGUUGGGAAAGAAAAGCAGCAGGUGAAACCCUCGCUGUUCUGACGGUACCUAAAGAAUAAGCAACGGCUAACUUCGUG